This 429-nucleotide ribosomal RNA is filed under the name uncultured bacterium. RNAcentral's name for it is "bacterial SSU rRNA". It matches the Rfam family "Bacterial small subunit ribosomal RNA", at positions 355 to 776 of the family's 1533-position model. The record is from RNAcentral.
UGGGGAAUAUUGGACAAUGGGGGCAACCCUGAUCCAGCGAUGCCGCGUGAGUGAAGAAGGCCUUCGGGUCGUAAAGCUCUUUAGGUUGGGAAGAAGGGUAUUGGCUGAAUAAUCCAGUACUUUGACGGUACCGACAGAAUAAGCACCGGCAAACUCUGUGCCAGCAGCCGCGGUAAUACAGAGGGUGCGAGCGUUAAUCGGAUUUACUGGGCGUAAAGGGCGCGUAGGCGGUAUAGUGUGUGCGAUGUGAAAGCCCCGGGCUUAACCUGGGAAGUGCAUAGCAAACUACUGAACUAGAGUAUAUGAGAGGGUGGCGGAAUUUCCGGUGUAGCGGUGAAAUGCGUAGAGAUCGGAAGGAACGUCAAUGGCGAAGGCAGCCACCUGGCAUAAUACUGACGCUGAGGCGCGAAAGCGUGGGGAUCGAACAGG